Molecule: transfer RNA, 71 nt
Filed under: Actinomycetota bacterium
Lineage: Bacteria; Bacillati; Actinomycetota
Description: tRNA-Gly
Rfam family: tRNA
About the family: Transfer RNA (tRNA) molecules are approximately 80 nucleotides in length.
Source: RNAcentral
GCGGGUGUAGCUCAAUGGUAGAGCUUCAGCCUUCCAAGUUGAAGACGGGGGUUCAAUUCCCCCCACCCGCU